This 498-nucleotide ribosomal RNA is filed under the name uncultured bacterium. RNAcentral describes it as "partial 16S ribosomal RNA". It matches the Rfam family "Bacterial small subunit ribosomal RNA", at positions 30 to 523 of the family's 1533-position model. The record is from RNAcentral.
AUUGAACGCUGGCGGCAUGCCUUACACAUGCAAGUCGAACGGUAACAGGUCUUCGGAUGCUGACGAGUGGCGAACGGGUGAGUAAUACAUCGGAACGUGCCUAGUAGUGGGGGAUAACUACUCGAAAGAGUGGCUAAUACCGCAUGAGAUCUACGGAUGAAAGCAGGGGAUCGCAAAACCUUGUGCUACUAGAGCGGCCGAUGGCAGAUUAGGUAGUUGGUGGGAUAAAAGCUUACCAAGCCGACGAUCUGUAGCUGGUCUGAGAGGACGAUCAGCACCACGGGGACUGGGACCAGGCCCAGACUCCUACGGGAGGCAGCAGUGGGGAAUUUUGGACAAUGGGCGCAAGCCUGAUCCAGCAAUGCCGCGUGCAGGAUGAAGGCCUUCGGGUUGUAAACUGCUUUUGUACGGAACGAAAAGCCCUGGGUUAAUACCCUGGGGUCAUGACGGUACCGUAAGAAUAAGCACCGGCUAACUACGUGCCAGCAGCCGCAGUAA